RNAcentral lists this unclassified non-coding RNA (386 nucleotides) under Hevea brasiliensis (rubber tree). Lineage: Eukaryota; Viridiplantae; Streptophyta; Magnoliopsida; Malpighiales; Euphorbiaceae. The record is from RNAcentral.
AAGAAAUUAGAGAAUAUUAGUAGCACUUUUCAGUUGCUCGAGUGAUCGCCACUGGAGAAGCUCAUCAAACAGAGUGUACUCAAUGGUCAGGGUGAGCAAACAAGAAUAGGACGAUGACGUAGAAUUUUCUCCACUAGAGGUUAAUGGAGACUUGCACUUCUUAAAGGUUCUUCAAUUUAUAUCCGUGCAAUGUAGCUUCUCCCCCGAUAAGGCGAACCAAAGUGGUUCACCAGCUUUCAUUGGCAGAAUCACUAAGUCUUAUGCCCUAAACCUAAAAACAAAACCAGUUUCUGCUUUAAAGAGAAGAACAAAGUUCACGGCAAAGCUCAUUUGAUCUCGUGUCCUCGAGCAGUCUUAUUUAGUCCUGGUACUGGAGAUACUGAUCG